UUCUCUUCUAUUCUUCUUUCUUCUUCAUUUCUUCUUCGUCCUUCUACUUGAGCGACCCGCAGAGAGAGAAUGAGAUGAGAGACAGAGAGAUUCCGGGAGAAUGAGAGAGAGAUCGAGAUUCUGAGGUGGAAAGAGAGACAGAGACCGUGAGAUAGAGGGAGACCGAGAGAUCGGGGGAGAGAGGAUCCGGAGGAUCCGUGAACUAGAGACCCGACAGAGAGAGCAAGGGGAGCCGAUUUCCGGCAAGCCCGUGACCCGCAACCCGCCAGACCCGAGAGAGAAAACCCGGACGGUUCGAGAACCCGUGACCCGUCUAUGUGAAACCCGAACGACCCACCGAACCAAAGACGAUCCAACGGCCUGUGAUGCGAUUUCCUGCGGAUGGAGGCCGUUCUCCGGUGGUUUCUGUCGGUAGUGGACUGCCCAGAACCCUCACAAACCCGAGACCUGCAACCCAUGACCCGCUGAACCGUGAGGAAGACCCGGUCCUCCAGGAGUGAUUUUCCGGCGAGUUUUCCGGCGGUCCAAUAGCGAUUUCCGGUGGAUUUUCUAGGAAAAUCCUUUAGAUGAUGUUUCUCUGGCUGCAGGUAAUCCGGUCGUAGUAUAUGGUGUUGUAGAAGUAGACUGAAGAUAUUAUGACUGAAGCUCAAUGCGACGGUUGUAAUGUGUUAGACCGCGAGAUGUCUAUUCCUUUAGGUAUUUUGAUUAUGGCUUGUGACGCUUGUGCCACAUGAUCUUUGUUAAGCCAUUUAUGUUAUGUAUUUAAUUCGAGGAAAGAUUUAAUCACAUAGUUAUUUAAUGGCUCUUUGUUGUAAUUAUUUGUGAUAGAUGUAUAAGAUGUGAUUUCCGCUAUUAAGUUGUGUUUUCCGCUGCAUA
This is a long non-coding RNA of Alnus glutinosa, 876 nucleotides long. RefSeq lists it as uncharacterized. Lineage: Eukaryota; Viridiplantae; Streptophyta; Magnoliopsida; Fagales; Betulaceae. The record is from RefSeq and is a predicted model, not a curated record. The transcript has 2 exons.